Molecule: small nucleolar RNA, 72 nt
Filed under: Neogale vison (American mink)
Lineage: Eukaryota; Metazoa; Chordata; Mammalia; Carnivora; Mustelidae
Description: Neovison vison (American mink) Small nucleolar RNA SNORD113/SNORD114 family (ENSNVIG00000009497.1)
Rfam family: Small nucleolar RNA SNORD113/SNORD114 family
About the family: The imprinted human domain at 14q32 contains two clusters of tandemly repeated small nucleolar RNAs named 14q(I) and 14q(II) snoRNAs. These two clusters are named SNORD113 and SNORD114 respectively in the HGNC approved gene symbol nomenclature. The snoRNAs found in both clusters are clearly related and are represented here by a single family.
Source: Rfam by way of RNAcentral
UGGAUCGAUGAUGACGGCGGGUGGCGUAGGAGUCGGACAUGAUGAAUGCGUGUCUGGAACUCUGAGGUCCAG